GACAUCGCCGGGGAGGUGACACGGUCGCAACUAGAGCUCUCGAUUCCCUCCAAUCCCGCCCGCCGAGCCUUCGUGAGCUUCUCCAUUCCGCCCGGGCAGCCGGCCAUGAUCGACCUCCACGACGUGCGUGGCCGGCGCAUCGACUCACGGCGGGCCGAGCCCGGCACUUCGGGAAGUGCCGCACUAGGAAAUGGAGCUCUUCGCGCCGGGAUGUACUUCGUGCGGGUCCGACAGGGCCGCGAAAGCGUCGUCCGGAAGCUCGUCAUCGAGCCCUGAAUCUGUAUCGCCGAAGCCGAAGGAACCGAGCCCACAUCGCCCCGCCCGGCGCGAAUGGUAUUCUUCAGCUUUCCCCCAUCGAAAAGACCGCAACCCAGGA
RNAcentral lists this unclassified non-coding RNA (376 nucleotides) under uncultured Ascomycota. Its description in RNAcentral is "sequence contains ITS1". The record is from RNAcentral. Lineage: Eukaryota; Fungi; Ascomycota.